This 489-nucleotide ribosomal RNA is filed under the name Triticum aestivum (bread wheat). RNAcentral's name for it is "partial small subunit ribosomal RNA". The record is from RNAcentral. Lineage: Eukaryota; Viridiplantae; Streptophyta; Magnoliopsida; Poales; Poaceae.
AUGAUUACGGAUGCGCUCACCGAGCCGGGAGGCACCUCCGCCAUCGCCGGAGGAGGUGUUUUGGCGGGGAUCAAGAGAAAGAAGAAGCGUGGGAGGCCAUUCAAGAAGAGGCCGCCGCGAAACCCGCUUGGGAGGCCGGGGAAGGUCAAACAGCCAGAUUCUGGAGCAACUCCAGCCGCGCCGUCACCGUCAACAACCGGUAUCAAGAGACCGCCAAGAAAAGACAAGUCAGCAGCAGCUUAUCCAUGUCAGAUGACCAAACCAAGCAAGAAACGCCGCUCGUCGCUGCUGAAGUGCUCCAACAGAAGGUUCCUUGCAAGUUUUUGGUCAAAGGUGAUGCUUGCAAACAAGAAAAAGUGGUGCCCAGAUCGAUUUUAUAAUCACAAAUUUGUGAUGCAAGUCCUUAUUUCUACUAGAGAACUUCGAGUAACAUGUAGUAACUGGGAUUGCUGCUACUUAACGCUUAACGCAACGCCUAAUUAUAUAUGA